UACGUAGGGGGCAAGCGUUGUCCGGAAUCAUUGGGCGUAAAGAGCUCGUAGGCGGUUUGUCGCGUCGGCCGUGAAAUCUCCACGCUUAACGUGGAGCGUGCGGUCGAUACGGGCAGACUUGAGUUCGGUAGGGGAGACUGGAAUUCCUGGUGUAGCGGUGAAAUGCGUAGAGAUGCGGCGGAACACCGAUGGCGAAGGCAGCCCCCUGGGCUGAGAUUGACGCUCAGGCACGAAAGCGUGGGGAGCAAACAGG
Molecule: ribosomal RNA, 253 nt
Filed under: uncultured bacterium
Lineage: Bacteria
Description: partial 16S ribosomal RNA
Rfam family: Bacterial small subunit ribosomal RNA
Source: RNAcentral